Neofelis nebulosa (Clouded leopard) is the source of this 888-nucleotide long non-coding RNA. RefSeq lists it as uncharacterized. NCBI's taxonomy places the organism in Eukaryota, Metazoa, Chordata, Mammalia, Carnivora, Felidae. The record is from RefSeq and is a predicted model, not a curated record. The transcript has 5 exons.
GCGGCGGGGAGAGCGAGACCCGCGCCUCGGGCUCCAGGGAGGGAAAGAAAGCUACAGAAAGCCGGAGCGGGGCUGCACUUCACGCUGAAGUUUCCCUUUUGAAUCGUCUGGAGUUAUGGCCCCUAAAACCAAGCAGAUGACUUCAUCUGGUGUUCAACCAAAAGAAAAUGAUCUGUUCCAAGACUGAAGGAAAAAUUGGCAGUGUUGAACUUAUUAAGAAGCAGUAUGACUGCAGAUUCUACUUUAUGGACAAUAUAAGGCAUUUUCAAGAGGAAAGUUGAAUAUAUGGAAUUUUCUUCUUAAAUAGUGACUUGAAUACUUAACUACCACAGAAGAUGCAACUCCAUGACAAUCUGGCAACAGUGAAUCAAAGCAAAAUGGAAACAACACUGGAACAGAUGCAGAAGUCUAAUAAGAACGUCUUCUCGGACAAAGCUAUUUUAAUGAAAGCGACACUCUGUGCAACCUCCCUGAUUCCUUCUCGUGUUCAACCACCCAAAUUAGAUUCACUUCAUUGGCUGUUUUCAUCAGGUUUCACAACACUGGGGACUAUCCAAAAGAAAUAAAAGUUACCUUUUUGGAUUCACUGGAAACGGUUUUAGCCAACAAGCUCUGACAGAGACAUAAUCUUAAUGUACCUGAACUCUAGAAAGCCAUGGUGAAAGCCAAGAAUUUGGACUGCAUUGUAAAAAGGAAGACUCCAAAGUCACACAACAAAUGGUGAAGAUACAGGAAAGGGUGAAGAAUCAAGGCUCAAAAAUGCACCCUACCACAGGGUCCAGGGAUAUUACCAAAGGUCUGCAAGUUUAAACGGUAUUUUGAAAUUUGCAAUUCAGUGAGAAAAUAAAUAAUGUAAUCACAUUGUGAUAAUGAAGUCACAGAACUUCA